GAGUUUGAUCAUGGCUCAGGAUGAACGCUGGCGGUAUGCUUUACACAUGCAAGUCGUACGGGAGUUUUUAACUCAAGUGGCGGACGGGUGAGUAACACGUAAGAAUUUACCUUUAGGAGGGGGAUAACAACUGGAAACGGUUGCUAAUACCCCAUAUGCUUUCGAGUGAAAUGGAUUUUUCCGCCUAGAGAGAAGCUUGCGGCUGAUUAGCUUGUUGGUGAGGUAAUGGCUCACCAAGGCGACGAUCAGUAUCUGGUUUGAGAGGAUGGUCAGACACACUGGAACUGAGACACGGUCCAGACUCCUACGGGAGGCAGCAGUGGGGAAUUUUCCGCAAUGGGCGAAAGCCUGACGGAGCAAUACCGCGUGAGGGAUGACGGCCUAUGGGUUGUAAACCUCUUUUUUCANGGAGGAAUCAAUGACGUGUACCUGAAGAAUAAGCAUCGGNUAACUCCGUGCCAGCAGCCGCGGUAAGACGGAGGAUGCAAGUGUUAUCCGGAAUCACUGGGCGUAA
RNAcentral lists this ribosomal RNA (514 nucleotides) under uncultured bacterium. Its description in RNAcentral is "bacterial SSU rRNA". It matches the Rfam family "Bacterial small subunit ribosomal RNA", at positions 9 to 563 of the family's 1533-position model. The record is from RNAcentral.